GUGCAGCAGGCGCGAAACCUCCACAAUGCGCGAAAGCGUGAUGGGGGAGUCUGAGUGCCAUCUCUACAAGGGGAUGGCUUUUGUCGAGCCUAAAAAGCUCGGCGAAUAAGGGCUGGGUAAGACCGGUGCCAGCCGCCGCGGUAACACCGGCGGCCCGACUGGUGACCACUACUACUGGGCCUAAAAGCGGUCCGUAACCGGACCUGUAAAUCCUUAGUGAAAUCCGCCGGCUCAACCGGCGGGCGUGCUUAGGAGACUGC
Molecule: ribosomal RNA, 260 nt
Filed under: uncultured microorganism
Description: partial 16S ribosomal RNA
Rfam family: Archaeal small subunit ribosomal RNA
Source: RNAcentral